CCUACGGGUGGCUGCAGUCGAGAAUCUUCGGCAAUGGGCGCAAGCCUGACCGAGCGACGCCGCGUGGAGGACGAAGGCCUUCGGGUUGUAAACUCCUGUCGAGGGGGAGCAAGGCCCUGCGAAGAGCAGGGUCGGAGCGAUCCCUGGAGGAAGCACGGGCUAAGUUCGUGCCAGCAGCCGCGGUAAGACGAACCGUGCGAACGUUAUUCGGAAUCACUGGGCUUAAAGCGCGUGCAGGCGGGCCGGCACGUCGGUCGCUGAAAUCCCCCGGCUCAACCGGGGAACGGGCGCCGAUACGACCGGCCUGGAGGGGGGUAGGGGGAGCCGGAACUCACGGUGGAGCGGUGAAAUGCGUUGAGAUCGUGAGGAACGCCCGUGGCGAAAGCGGGCUCCUGGACCCCGCCUGACGCUGAGACGCGAAAGCCAGGGGAGCGAACGGGAUUAGAUACCCCUGUAGUC
This 459-nucleotide ribosomal RNA is filed under the name uncultured bacterium. RNAcentral's name for it is "bacterial SSU rRNA". It matches the Rfam family "Bacterial small subunit ribosomal RNA", at positions 338 to 795 of the family's 1533-position model. The record is from RNAcentral.